UAAGACCGUGAGACCCAUUUCUUCAAACUCAUCAUUCCAAGUAUGAAUCAUCAGAAUUUAUCUUGAUCUUUCGACACUUUCAAUGAUUCCAGAAAAAGACUGUUUGGUUAUUAAACGUUGAAGUUGAUUGAGUUUCUCCAUCGACUAAAUUUGUCAAAUUGGAGCUUUCCCCUAAAAAAAAUUGGACUAUCAUGUAUUUGAAUAUAAAUAAGGUACCAGUGUUGUGAUGGUUGUAGGAUGAGGUGGUUGCUUGAGAGUAUCA
Vitis riparia (riverbank grape) is the source of this 262-nucleotide long non-coding RNA. RefSeq lists it as uncharacterized. The transcript is spliced from 2 exons. Lineage: Eukaryota; Viridiplantae; Streptophyta; Magnoliopsida; Vitales; Vitaceae. The record is from RefSeq and is a predicted model, not a curated record.